This 510-nucleotide long non-coding RNA is filed under the name Aotus nancymaae (Ma's night monkey). RNAcentral's name for it is "lncRNA (ENSANAG00000039382.1)". Lineage: Eukaryota; Metazoa; Chordata; Mammalia; Primates; Aotidae. The record is from RNAcentral.
GCGGAGAGCACUGGCGGGGAGCGUGGGUGGGGGGUGCUGGUGGGAACCUCUGCCCCAGCUCAUUCCCGUUCCCUAGCCUGACCUCAAGGUCCAACAGCUGGCCAGGGAGCAGCAACAGUGUCACAGGGAGGUCAUUAAGGACGCAGAGGACCAGGUGGACAGGCUGCAGCAGGAGGCCCAGAAGGCUGAGGAGGCGCUGGCUCUGGCCAGGCUGGCACUGCGGGAACAGACGCAGGAGGGGGAAGAAGAGGCACGUGGGCUUAAGUGCCAGGUCACUGAGCUGCAUGACGUGCUGAUGAAAGACAUGGGCAACAGCAUCCGAGCCGAUGGCCGGUGGCCUCUCGUCAUUGACCCUUCGGGCCAGGCGGCUGCCUUCCUGCGCUACCAGGACACCAACUAUGUGGACACAGUAAACCCGGAGCACCUGAGGCCGGAGGGGAUGCGACUGGCUCUUCCGGGGGCUCUGCGGUGAGGCGGGCAGGGCGUCAGGUACACCCACGCCCCCCCUAG